This 170-nucleotide ribosomal RNA is filed under the name Antennarius commerson (Commerson's frogfish). Its description in RNAcentral is "partial 12S rRNA". Lineage: Eukaryota; Metazoa; Chordata; Actinopteri; Lophiiformes; Antennariidae. The record is from RNAcentral.
CACCGCGGUUAUACGAGUGAGCCCAAGUUGAUAAAAACCGGCGUAAAGGGUGGUUAAGAAUAUUGUUAAAUAAAGCCGAAAAUCUCUUACAGCUGUUAAAUGCCUGCAAGAAUAAUAAGCCCAAUUACGAAAGUAGCUUUAUAUUUUCUGACCCCACGAAAACUAGGGCA